RNAcentral lists this ribosomal RNA (434 nucleotides) under uncultured Clostridium sp. RNAcentral describes it as "partial 16S ribosomal RNA". It matches the Rfam family "Bacterial small subunit ribosomal RNA", at positions 341 to 792 of the family's 1533-position model. Lineage: Bacteria; Bacillati; Bacillota; Clostridia; Eubacteriales; Clostridiaceae. The record is from RNAcentral.
ACGGAAGGCAGCAGUGGGGAAUAUUGGACAAUGGGGGAAACCCUGAUCCAGCGACGCCGCGUGAGUGAAGAAGUAUUUCGGUAUGUAAAGCUCUAUCAGCAAGGAAGAAAAUGACGGUACUUGACUAAGAAGCUCCGGCUAAAUACGUGCCAGCAGCCGCGGUAGUACGUAUGGAGCAAGCGUUAUCCGGAUUUACUGGGUGUAAAGGGAGCGUAGACGGCUUUGCAAGUCUGAAGUGAAAGCCCGGGGCUCAACCCCGGAACUGCUUUGGAAACUGUAGAGCUAGAGUACAGGAGAGGUAAGCGGAAUUCCUAGUGUAGCGGUGAAAUGCGUAGAUAUUAGGAGGAACACCAGUGGCGAAGGCGGCUUACUGGACUGUAACUGACGUUGAGGCUCGAAAGCGUGGGGAGCAAACAGGAUUAGAUACCCUGGUA